AACGAACGCUGGCGGCAUGCCUAACACAUGCAAGUCGAACGAGACCUUCGGGUCUAGUGGCGCACGGGUGCGUAACACGUGGGAAUUUGCCUCGGGGUAUGGAAUAACUCAGGGAAACUUGAGCUAAUACCAUAUAAUGUCUUCGGACCAAAGAUUUAUCGCCCUGAGAUAAGCCCGCGUAGGAUUAGCUAGUUGUGGGGUAAAGCUCACCAAGGCGACGAUCCUUAGCUGGUCUGAGAGGAUGAUCAGCCACACUGGGACUGAGACACGGCCCAGACUCCUACGGGAGGCAGCAGUGGGGAAUAUUGGACAAUGGGCGAAAGCCUGAUCCAGCAAUGCCGCGUGAGUGAUGAAGGCC
Molecule: ribosomal RNA, 358 nt
Filed under: uncultured bacterium
Lineage: Bacteria
Description: bacterial SSU rRNA
Rfam family: Bacterial small subunit ribosomal RNA
Source: RNAcentral